RNAcentral lists this unclassified non-coding RNA (282 nucleotides) under Clavulinaceae sp. RNAcentral describes it as "partial contains small subunit ribosomal RNA, internal transcribed spacer 1, and 5.8S ribosomal RNA". The stretch from base 1 to 46 matches the Rfam family "Eukaryotic small subunit ribosomal RNA", at positions 1786 to 1831 of the family's 1831-position model. Lineage: Eukaryota; Fungi; Basidiomycota; Agaricomycetes; Cantharellales; Hydnaceae. The record is from RNAcentral.
AAGUCGUAACAAGGUUUCCGUAGGUGAACCUGCGGAAGGAUCAUUAAUGAAUUGUAAAUGGGAGUUUGAUGCUGGCAAGGAGGAGACUCUUUUGCAUGUGCUUGCUUCUAACAAUUUUUAUCCAAACACCCGUGCACCUUUGAGGGGAGAGACUAAUCUUUAUGAGUUUCUCUCUUCAUUCUUAUUAUAUACACGCUGGUUUUAAUGUGGGGAAUGUGCUUGUGUCCCUUAAUUAAGGGCAUUGAAUAAAUACAACUUUUAACAAUGGAUCUCUUGGCUCUU